GGCUUGAUCGAUCCACGAAAAAUUUGAUUCUAAACUCGUUUCAAAACUAGAGGGGGGCAGCUUUUCGUUUCUGAUGGUAUUUCCGAAUUUGGCCCCCAAAAAAAUUCGAAAUUAACGAAAAUUCGUUAUUUUCUAAAUUAAUUUGUUAAUGGCGGACGCGCAUGCGCAAUUCCCAAAAACAGCACAGAGGGAGAGGACUUUACAGGACUCUCCCACCCUCAUUUUUUGAGUGAUCGUCUUCCAACUUGGUACAGUGGUAGAACACAUUUAACACUGAUAGCUCACCAAAAUUUGGAACGUUUCCCUUAUUCUCUGAUUUUUGGCGAAUUUUCAUAGCUUUUAUAAUAAACCAUUUUUUAAUAAUUGCAGAAAUCUGUUCCUGGUUUGAAAGUCUUAUUUCCUGUUAAAUUGGGUUGUCUUUACUGUGAAAGUCAUUGUUCUACUUCAGAAACUUUGUUUUUGUGGCUGAAACUUUGUUAAAUUGGUGUGUGUGUGAUAUAUACUGUGUAUAUAUAUAUAUAUAGUCCCUGCAUAAUGUGUGUGUGUGUGUGUGUGUGUGUGUGUGUAUAUAGGUAAAGGUAAAGGUAUCCCUUGACGUUAAGUUCAGUCAUGUCUGACUCUGGGGGUUGGUGCUCAUCUCCAUUUCUAAGCCCAAGAGCCAGUGUUGUCCAUAGACACCUCCAAGGUCAUGUGGCCGGCAUGACUACAUGGAGUGCCAUUACCUUCCCGCCAGAGCGGUACCUAUUGAUCUACUCACAUUGGCAUGUUUUCAAGCUGCUAGGUUGGCAGAAGCUGGAGCUAACAGCGGGCACUCACUCUGCUCCCGGGAUUUGAACCUGGGACCUUUCGGUCUGCAAGUUCAGCAGCUCAGUGCUUUAACACACUUCGCCAUCGGGGCUCAUGUAUAUAUAAUAUACAUACACAUACACACAAUGUGGAGAAUAUGUGGAAAGGUAGAUAAGUUGGGAGCCACAGCGAAGGCACCUUCCUGGGAGCAAGGUCUAAUAAUAAUAAUAAUAAUAAUAAUAAUAAUAAUAAAAAAUCCCUUACAAUAUCCAAGAUGGCUCACUGCUACAGAAUCUUGGGAGGUUUAGUUUGAUAUGGUACCAUUAUUGGCAGAGAAAGCUAAUGUUAUGAUUGAGCCUCAUGGCUCUGCUACUGGGAAGCGUGGGCGUAAGACUCCUCGAGAGUCAGAUACUCUCGAGGAGCGAGAAAGAAAGAGGCUGCGAGAUAUCUUUGCAGAACCAUCUGACGAGGAUUCUUUUGAGGGGUUUACAGAGAGAAUGGAGGAAGAGGUGGUGAGCUCGGAAGAGGAUGAGAUGGAUUGGACUCGGCUUUGACCUUCCGUCGUCUUCUUGACGGACGCCAUCUGCUACUCUGGAUUUACGGACUGAACUGACUACGGGCUCGGAUUCUCCUACCUGGACUUGGUGAACUACAAACGUCUGCUUCUGCCUUACGACCUUCGGAAAGAACUGGGACUACGCUACUGCUUCAAUCCUCGGCUGUUGUGUUUGUAUUGGAACCUUGCCUGCUGUGUGGAGGUGUAACUGCUAAGUUACUCAAAACAUAGUGCUGGCAGCAGAGAAGCAUCUGCUGCCAAUUAGUUACAUUCUUUUGAACUCUUUGUUCACCAGUUUCUGUUUUGUUUAUUCUCAGGCUGAAGCAAGUUGUUUUGAUUUUGUCCGGAUUAAACUCCGGUUUAAUCCGGUUUAUCUUUUGAAUGUUUUUCUUGCCCCUUUUUGCUUUUUAAGGCCAGUGUUGCCUAGCCCUUGUCUUUUACGGGCAUUUUGAGUUCUGUAAAUCCAAUAAACUCUGUUAUCUUUGA
Anolis carolinensis (green anole) is the source of this 1828-nucleotide long non-coding RNA. RefSeq lists it as uncharacterized. Lineage: Eukaryota; Metazoa; Chordata; Lepidosauria; Squamata; Anolidae. The record is from RefSeq and is a predicted model, not a curated record. The transcript is spliced from 2 exons.